Molecule: ribosomal RNA, 1308 nt
Filed under: uncultured Klebsiella sp.
Lineage: Bacteria; Pseudomonadati; Pseudomonadota; Gammaproteobacteria; Enterobacterales; Enterobacteriaceae
Description: bacterial SSU rRNA
Rfam family: Bacterial small subunit ribosomal RNA
Source: RNAcentral
UGCAGUCGAGCGGUAGCACAGAGAGCUUGCUCUCGGGUGACGAGCGGCGGACGGGUGAGUAAUGUCUGGGAAACUGCCUGAUGGAGGGGGAUAACUACUGGAAACGGUAGCUAAUACCGCAUAACGUCGCAAGACCAAAGUGGGGGACCUUCGGGCCUCAUGCCAUCAGAUGUGCCCAGAUGGGAUUAGCUAGUAGGUGGGGUAACGGCUCACCUAGGCGACGAUCCCUAGCUGGUCUGAGAGGAUGACCAGCCACACUGGAACUGAGACACGGUCCAGACUCCUACGGGAGGCAGCAGUGGGGAAUAUUGCACAAUGGGCGCAAGCCUGAUGCAGCCAUGCCGCGUGUGUGAAGAAGGCCUUCGGGUUGUAAAGCACUUUCAGCGGGGAGGAAGGCGUUAAGGUUAAUAACCUUGGCGAUUGACGUUACCCGCAGAAGAAGCACCGGCUAACUCCGUGCCAGCAGCCGCGGUAAUACGGAGGGUGCAAGCGUUAAUCGGAAUUACUGGGCGUAAAGCGCACGCAGGCGGUCUGUCAAGUCGGAUGUGAAAUCCCCGGGCUCAACCUGGGAACUGCAUUCGAAACUGGCAGGCUAGAGUCUUGUAGAGGGGGGUAGAAUUCCAGGUGUAGCGGUGAAAUGCGUAGAGAUCUGGAGGAAUACCGGUGGCGAAGGCGGCCCCCUGGACAAAGACUGACGCUCAGGUGCGAAAGCGUGGGGAGCAAACAGGAUUAGAUACCCUGGUAGUCCACGCCGUAAACGAUGUCGAUUUGGAGGUUGUGCCCUUGAGGCGUGGCUUCCGGAGCUAACGCGUUAAAUCGACCGCCUGGGGAGUACGGCCGCAAGGUUAAAACUCAAAUGAAUUGACGGGGGCCCGCACAAGCGGUGGAGCAUGUGGUUUAAUUCGAUGCAACGCGAAGAACCUUACCUGGUCUUGACAUCCACAGAACUUAGCAGAGAUGCUUUGGUGCCUUCGGGAACUGUGAGACAGGUGCUGCAUGGCUGUCGUCAGCUCGUGUUGUGAAAUGUUGGGUUAAGUCCCGCAACGAGCGCAACCCUUAUCCUUUGUUGCCAGCGGUCCGGCCGGGAACUCAAAGGAGACUGCCAGUGAUAAACUGGAGGAAGGUGGGGAUGACGUCAAGUCAUCAUGGCCCUUACGACCAGGGCUACACACGUGCUACAAUGGCAUAUACAAAGAGAAGCGACCUCGCGAGAGCAAGCGGACCUCAUAAAGUAUGUCGUAGUCCGGAUUGGAGUCUGCAACUCGACUCCAUGAAGUCGGAAUCGCUAGUAAUCGUAGAUCAGAAUGC